RNAcentral lists this long non-coding RNA (7383 nucleotides) under Carica papaya (papaya). Its description in RNAcentral is "long non-coding RNA (CPAP_LNC002672)". The record is from RNAcentral. Lineage: Eukaryota; Viridiplantae; Streptophyta; Magnoliopsida; Brassicales; Caricaceae.
AAAUACAAAAGAUCAAAAUACAAAAAGGGUCAUUUUUAUCAUUAUGUGAAAGGACUCAUUAGACUACAUGACAAGUCAUGCACUCAAGGUUUAUGGAUCCAGGGGAUCCUCAAAAACUUCAAAUAGUAGGUUAGCGAUCAAUUCCUCACUAUCUUCCUCAUCUAGAGGGGGGCAUGGAAAUAGGUGAGUUCUAUAUACUCAGUAAGAAAAACAGUAUUUAAAUAAUAUAAUAAGAUUUUAAAAGUGAGUAAUUACGUCAUCAACACUUACCAUCAGAAGUCAUGUUAAAGUCUUUUCUUAAAUUAUAAAAAUAAUUUCUUUAUUUUAAAAAACAUCAAAUCCAUCAUGUCAUGCUCAUAUCAAUCAAAUCAAUUAUGCUGAUAAUAGAAAAAAUCAAACAAAUCAUGAUAUGCAUAGUUUUUCGUGUCAUUUCUUCGCAAAGUCAUUCCAACUUUCAUCUCUUGAGGGCAAAUAUGGAUUUUCGACUACCUAUGUUGAAUGACAAGUUUAGAUAUAACAUUACACAAUCUAUGACUACAGUCGUGUCAACCACAGUGGUCCUCUAAAAAAAACUAUGGUCACAGCCGUACUUCGCCAAAGGUGACUGCUAUAAAAAUAUCACGUCACUACUCUCAUCAUAGGAUACGCUGUCAUCCAAAGGAAGUGGUCAUCUCACGUCUUUUCAGACUAAAUGAGAGAGAAAUAGGAACCCUUAAGAGAUAAAAAGUCUAACGAAAUACUUUAUGAAUUAUGCAUGUCAAUACGGAUACAUAUUUCUCAUACCAUUUCAUGCUUAAUAACCUUCUCACAUUUCAGUAAUUGAUCUCAAGAAUUACAUCAUUUAAAUCACAUGCAAAUUGUCAAGUUCAUAUACGAUCAUAUAACAUGCAUUAUCAAGUAAAAUUUACUUUGUUUAGGUAUUUAAAAAUAAUCAUGCAGAUCAUAAAUUCAAGCUUCAUAAUUUGGCUCUAGAAAUGCUCCUUAAAAUAUUUAAAAGUAAAUAUUAAAUUCCUUACCAAAAUCUUGAAGUUUCUUAUACCUUUUCUUCUUUUUCUCUUCACCCUCUCUCUCUAGAUCACUCAUUCUCUCUCUAAGCUCUUGGAGGAUGGAAGAAUGGAAUGGAAAUGAUGAGGAAAUGGUGAAGGGAGGGUCCCUAUUUAUAUAAAAUAGGGACCACCAAAUUUGUGCCAAUUGGAAAAAUCUAAUGAGGGAGAAAGUUAAGGAGAAAAAAAGUGAUAUGACGACUGAUGGAUGUGAUUGACGGAUGGAUGACAUGACGUGACGACAAUGCAAAAAAUAGAGGCAUGCCAGCCAAACGAUAGCGGCGCGUUGCCUGAGCCGACAGUAGUGGCUCGUCGCCCAACAGGCAGCGCGUACAGCCCAAGGCAGCAGCACGUUGUCCUAGUCGUCUGCGUGUUGCAAGCCUACCUUUUAGACGCGUCGGCAUAGCUUGCCGCAUGCAGGCCUACUAUGCAAAUGGCACACGCACAGGGCCCACAGAGCUGUAGACUAGGUCUCGCGCCCCACACGGAUGGGACGUGCACACAGUGCGCACGUCUUGUGUUGGCCACACGCGGGCAGGACCCUUCCCGCUAGUAUUUUCCCACAAAAUUUUUGCCUUUUCUCUGUCUUUUUGUUCUAAAAAUUUAUUUUUAAAUAAUAACGAUAAAAAUAAAAUUUUUCUACGAAGAAAUAAAAAAUAUAAAUUUAUGAAUUAUUUAAAUAAAUUAAAAAUAAAAAUUUAAAAUAUGAAAUACGAUAUUUAUCCGAAAGUUAAAAUCACAAAAUAUUUGAAGAGUUUAUACAACCUUAGAACCCGAAUAAAUAGGGGUUCACAAUUACAAAUUAAGUGCAAAGGUCUCGGGGGUGUUACAUUCCCCCCAUCUUAGAAAAUUUGAUCCCCCAUAUUUUUCAUGAAUAAGUCUGGGAAAUUCUCUCUCAUCUCGCUCUCCAACUCCCACGUCGUCUCUUCUAGAGUAUGGUGCUGCCACUACACCUUCAUCAUGAAGAUUCUCUUGUUUCGUAAAACCUUAUUGGUCCAACUAAGGAUUUCCACAGAGAGUUCUUCAUACGUGAUAUUAGCUUGUACCUGCAUCUCUUCGUAAGAAAUGAUAUGAGAAGGGUCAUGGUGGUACCUUUUAAGCAUAGAGACAUGGAAAAUAUCAUGUAGACCCACAAACUCUCAGGAUAGAGCGAGACGGUACGCCACUAGUCCAACAUAUUUCAUAAUCCGAAAAGGUCCCACAUAGUAGGGGCUUAAUUUUUUAUUUUUUUGAAUCGCAUUUUUUCUUUAUUGGGAUAUAUCUUGAAGAAGACUUGGUCACUGACGACAAAUUCUAAGGGUCUUAUACGGUUAUCCGCAUAAUGUUUCUGGCGACUCUGGGUGGUGGACAAGUUUCUAUGGAUGAUAGUAACCUUCUCGAUAGUCUCUUGGAUAAAAUCAGAUCCCAAACAACGCUAAUUUUUAACUUCGCUCCAGCAAGUGGGAGAACGAUAGAGCCUACCAUACAAGGUUUCAUACAAAGCCUUGUCGACGCUAGAAUGAUAACUAUUAUUAUAAUCAAAUUCACAUAAGAGAAGAUACUCAUACCAGUUAUUGCCAAAGUCGAGGACACAAGCACGCAACAUAUCUUCUAAUGUCUGGAUAAUACACUUAGACUAACCAUCAGUCUGGGGAUGAUAAGUAGUGUUGAAGUACAAUUCAGACUCAAACGCUUUUAGAAAACUAUCCCAAAAGUAAGAGGUGAAUCGAGGAUCUUGGUCGAACACAAUGGAUGAGAGGACGUCAUGGAUUCGAACAAUUUCAUUGACGUACAGGAAGGCUAAUCUACUAGUAGAGUCAGUGGUUCUGAUGGGUAAGAAGUGGGCAAUCUUGGUUAAUCUAUCAACAAUUAUCCAUAUAGUAUUAUGACUAGAACAGGUCCUGAAUAAACUGGUGACAAAGUCUAUGGUUACAUGCUCUCAUUUCUAUUCCAGAAUCGGGAGACCUUGUAAUAAACUGCCGGGUCUCUGGUGUUCCGCUUAACUCGUUGACAAGUAAGGCAUCGGGAGACAUAGUCGAUAAUGUCUUUUUUUAUUUCAGGACACUAAUAUUGACAUCUCAGGUACCAGUACAUCUUGGUACUCUCAGAGUGGAUGGACAGUUUGGAGGCAUGGGUAGCCUUGAGAACAUUCGUCCUAAUAGUGACAGGGACCCAAAUAUGGUCUCAAAAUCUAUACAACCCAUCAUUAGUAAGCCUAAAAUCAGGAAAUUCGUCAGAAGUGAACUUACUAAAAUUUUUGGUGAUUUCUUGGUCCGUGGAUUGAGCUUCCCAAAUCUUCAUAAAAAGAUCGGGCAAAGCUCAAAUUUAAGCGAGAUAGGCACCAUUGUCAUGGCAGUUGAGGCGAAGUGCCUAGAUAACAUCAACCAAUUUUCAACUGGAGGGCAUGGUUUGGCCAAACAUAGUGAACACCUUCUAGUUCAGCACAUCUGUGACCGCAUUUCAUCUAUCGGGGUGGUAGAUCAUCUUGCAGUUAUAGUCCUUAAGGAGGUCCGUCUAAUGUCUUUGUCUCAUAUUCAAUUUCCUCUGUGAGAAAAUAUACUUUAAACAUUUGUAGUUAGUGUAGAUUUCAAAUAUCUAACCAAAUAAAUAAUUACGUUAUAUCUUCAAGGCAAAUAUUAUGGCCGCUAAUUCUAGGUCAUGAAUAAGGUAGUUGUGCUCACGGGACUUUAAUUGUCUAGAUCCAUAAGCGACCACUCUAUCGUACUGCAUCAAAAUGCAUCCUCAACUAAUGUGAGAUGCAUCACAGUAAACCUGAAAUCUUCUAGUGUUGUCGGGGAGGAUCAACAUCGAAGUAGAGGUGAGACGAUACUUCAAUUCCAUAAAGCUUUUGCCACAUUCACAAUGUUAAAUAAAAGGUAAAAUUUUCCUAGUGAGACGGGUCAACAGAGCAGCAAUAUUUGAGAAUCCAUCAAUGAAUCGUGGGUAGUAACCUGCUAAAUGAAGAAAACUACGUACCUCAGCUACGUUGGUUGGCAGGUUCUAGUUGGUCACUGUUUUAACUUUGGAUGGAUCCAUAGAAACUCUUUUGCUCGAAAUUAUAUGGCCAAUGAAGGUGACUCGAUCCAACGAAAAAAGCAUUUGUUGAGCUUAGCAUACAGCUGAUUCUAACGAAUUGUUCCUAGUACCUUAGAUAAGUGGACUACAUGUUCUUCCGGGCUCUUAGAGUACACUAGGAUGUCAUCAAUGAAUACGAUGACAUAUUGAUAUAAUCCAUGCCCGAAAACCCUUUUCAUAAGAUCCAUAAAGUUAACAUGGGCAUUAGUUAGUCCGAAAGGCAUAACUUUAAAGUCAUACAGACUAUAUCGACAUCGAAAGGUGGUCUUUGAAAUAUCUUCUUUUUUGACUCGCAAUUGGUAGUAACCCGAUCUGAGAUCGAUAUUAAAAAAGAUCAUGAGUCCUUACAAAUGAUAGAAAAGAUCAUUGAUAUGAGGUAGAAGACACUUACUCUUCAUCGUCACCCUGACUGAGUUCUUUGUAAUCUACAUAGUCUGAGGGAGCCAUUAUUUUUCUUCACGAAUAACACCGGGCCACCCCAAGGGGAAUGACUAAGGCGGAUGAAUUUUUGACUAAGAAGUUCGAAAAACUGGUUUUUUAGUUCUGCUAGCUCAGUACAACUCAUGUGAUAGGUAGAUUUUGAGAUUGGUUGUGUUCCAGAAAAUAGGUUGAUAAAAAACUCUCCCGCGGGGAGGCAGAUUGGGUAGUUCUUCGAAAAAACUUUCUAAAAGUCGCAAACCGUAGGAAUGGAGUACAUAGUAGGAUCAACAUUCAUAAUCAUGUUUAUUCAAUAGUUAAAAAAUAAUAAAAGUAGAUUUUUAUUUCAUUUUUGGGGAUCGCAAGGUUACAACUUUACUUUCGCAAUUAAUGGUUGCCCUAUAUUCCUCUAACCAAUCCAUUCAUAAAAUAACGUCAAAUCCUGAGAAAUCUAAAAGUAUUAAAUCCACUAAUAAUUCUACUUUUGAAGUUUUUAUUUUACAAUUUUUAUACAUACAUUAAGCCUCUAAUAAAACCCUAGAGGGAGUUUCUACAGCUAGUACUUCACCUAAAGGUUCAGGCCUAAUAUCUAAUUUACAAGCAAAUGCACAAAAGAUAAAAAAGUGGGCAGCACCUGUAUCGAUCAAAUAUUUGGAAAAAAUGUCAUGAAUAGAAAGCAUACCAUGGAUAAGGAUAGGAAUAGGGAGGGCACCAGGUUCAUCAAGGUGAUACACACGACCCUGAACUAUGGGUCUGGCCACGUCCUUCGGCUACUGAGAGCAAUCUUUCACAAGGUGCUGAGUGCUUCUUCACCUAUAAUAGGCGUGAUUAAAACGUCGACAAAGUAGAUCACCAUGCGAGCAUUGACAAUGCUAGCAUGGUUGGGAAGGUCACCCGGGUUGUCUAGUAGGUGGAGAUAUAGGAACGGCAAGGGUAACUCGAGGUCAUUUAUCAGGGUGGCUAUUUACUGGGUCAGAUAGUCUUUUUUUGAGUUGUUGGGGUUGGUGUUAUUGUUGUCGAGUACAUACUCGGACAAUGCGUUGGUGCCUGGCUGAGAUAAGGUCUUCAACCAAUUGGACAUAUUCAAACACCUUGGCAUAUGAGCUAGGUCUUAGCAUCGCAACCCAAUCGUAGAUAUCGGCACGAAGGCCCUUCAAAAACUUCCUACUUUUACGACUUUCGAGGGUGACCAUUAGUAAGACAAACCUAGAAAGCUGGACAAAUCGGACUGCAUAUUGGGCAACCGUCAAGUUUCCCUGGCAGAGGUCCUGAAAUUCCUCCUUUUUUUCUCGGACAUAGGCUGGAAAAAAGUUAUCAAAGAAUGUGUCGAUGAAAAAUUUCUAAUUUGUAGGGUAGGUAAGACUUCCUUUUUGAGUCACCACUAAUGUUCAGCUUCACCAGUUAGCAUGAAGGCUGCUAAGGGGACUUUUUAUUCCUCGGUUAGGUCUAAGACAGAGAACAAUUUCUCUAUCUGCAAGAUUCUAACUUCAGUUACUAAGGGGUUGAGGCCUCCUUCAAAGUGAGGCGGGUUAAACUUCCCAAACUCCACUAUAUUGUGAGAGAUAGAUCUUUUGGCUUGUCGAUAUUUUGAGGCAGAAUGUUGGCAAGGGUUGGCUUGGUUUUGUCCUAUGGCUGCGAUCUAUCCCUAGAUAACUCAAAAGAGUUUAAUAAACUCAGCCCUGGUCAGAUGAUUCUAGGCCUCGGGUCUUUCCGUACGUUCUAUAAAAGGUCUCCCUCGUGUUAUUCCUACAAACGAAAAGAAAGACAUGAGUUGGUGGUCUAGUUUUUGGAAAGAUGACUCAUUUCCUAAAUAUCCUAGAGGGUUUUCUACUGACAGCCACAAUUGUAAGGGAUUAGCCCGUAUAACUACUCUGAUACCAUCUGUGAUAUCUCAAAUGCUAAUUAAGACAUAAUGGUGUCAAAAACAGAAACAGAUUACGAGUGCAUAGUAGUUAAUUGUAUGCAGCAGAGCAAUUUAUUAAAAAUCCCUUACAAAAUAUAUGAGUUCCAAUUACACAUAUAACUGAAGGCAAAAGUGGCAACAAAAUACAAAAUAUCAAAAUACAAAAAGGACCGUUUCUAUCACUAUGUGAAAUAACUUAUUAAAGUGCGAAACAAGUCAUGCACUCAAGGUUUAUGGAUCCACGGGAUCCUCAAAUACUUUAAAGAGUAGGUCAUCGAUUGGUUCCUCACUAUCUCCCUCAUUUGGAGGAGGGCAUAGAAAUGGGUGAGUUUCAUGUACUUAAUAAAAAAAACAGUAUUUAAAUAGAAUCAUAAGAUUUCAAAAGUGAGUAAUUACGUCAUCAACACUUACCAUCAGGAGUCACGUCAGGAUCUUUUCUUAAAUUAUGAAAACAAAUUGUUUCUUUAAGAAAACAUCAAAUCUAUCAUGUCAUGGUAAUAUCAAUCAAAUUAAUCAUGCUGAUAAUAGAAAAAAUUAAAUAAAUCAUUAUAUGCAUAGUUUUUCAUGUCAUUUCUUUGCAAAGUCGUUCUAACUUUCCUCUAUUGAGAGCAGAUACGGAUUUUCGACUACUCAAGUAAAAUGACUAGUUCAAAUAUAACAGCAAUUUGCAGCUUGCUAAACCAACAACACAUUUGCGGUUUGUCAAACCAUGACACAAUCUAUGACAACGGUCGUGCCAACUAUAGUGGUCCUAUCAGAAAAACUAUUGCCACAGUCGUACUUCACCAAAGGUGACCCCUACAAGAAUAUCGUGUCACCACUCUCAUCAGAGGGUACGCCGUCAUCCAUAGAGAGCGAUCAUCUCAAGUCUUUUCAGAUAAGAUGGGGGAGAAACAGAAACUCCUCAGAGAUAAAAAACCUAAUAAAACACUUUAUGAAUUAUACAUGUCAAUACAGAUACAUAUU